AGACUUCAAAUACAAUGCCAAAAAAGUCCUUUCUGUGAAGUGUAAUAACAUCAUCUGGGUCAUACACUUCAUUUACAUCCAGACAUCGCUUCUGCUUGAGUGUACAGGGUUACACAUUUCCAACUUACCAUCAGAUGGAUGGACCUCAAUGACGACAUCCUCUAUUGGGGCA
Molecule: long non-coding RNA, 172 nt
Organism: Amphimedon queenslandica
Lineage: Eukaryota; Metazoa; Porifera; Demospongiae; Haplosclerida; Niphatidae
Exons: 3
Source: RefSeq, a predicted model, not a curated record